GUCUUCGUGGUGUAGUGGUCAGUACGCUUGACGCGUAACCGAGAGGUCCGUGGUUCGAUUCCCGGCGAAGGCG
RNAcentral lists this transfer RNA (73 nucleotides) under Stegodyphus mimosarum. It matches the Rfam family "tRNA". Rfam says of the family: Transfer RNA (tRNA) molecules are approximately 80 nucleotides in length. Their secondary structure includes four short double-helical elements and three loops (D, anti-codon, and T loops). Further hydrogen bonds mediate the characteristic L-shaped molecular structure. tRNAs have two regions of fundamental functional importance: the anti-codon, which is responsible for specific mRNA codon recognition, and the 3' end, to which the tRNAs corresponding amino acid is attached (by aminoacyl-tRNA synthetases). tRNAs cope with the degeneracy of the genetic code in two manners: having more than one tRNA (with a specific anti-codon) for a particular amino acid; and 'wobble' base-pairing, i.e. permitting non-standard base-pairing at the 3rd anti-codon position. The record is from Rfam by way of RNAcentral. Lineage: Eukaryota; Metazoa; Arthropoda; Arachnida; Araneae; Eresidae.